Molecule: long non-coding RNA, 491 nt
Organism: Brassica oleracea var. oleracea
Lineage: Eukaryota; Viridiplantae; Streptophyta; Magnoliopsida; Brassicales; Brassicaceae
Exons: 3
Source: RefSeq, a predicted model, not a curated record
UUAGGUUUUUUCUUGAUCUAAAAAUUUAGAAUCUCUCUACCGUCAAUUUUUUUCUCUUCUUAGCUCUGUGUCGAUGAAACUGAGAAACAUGACAUGAAUCGAAAUUGAGAAACAACAAUCUUGUGGGUCUCUUCGUUUUCUUCACUAAGAGAAGGCUGCUUUGGUGCAAGGGUUCGUUUUUGCUGUGACCUGUGAGCGUAUGUGCUGUGAGCCUGUGAGCCCGUGAGCGUCCUAAAUCCUAUUACUUCAAGUCUUCAAGUGAGUUUCUUUGUUUCGUUUUGAUAACAAGAAGAUGAAGAAAGGGGUUGGUUUGAGAUUAGAGGAGGAUGAUGAAGUUGGUUUCUAUCUUGUUUUUCUAUGGUUCAGUUUUUUUACAAAGUAAACUUUAUGUAUUUUUAGGUUCUCUAUGGUGUAGUCUUUCACUUUCUAAGUUUCAGAUUUUAUUUUUAACAAAAAAAAAAGUUUCAGAUUUUAUGUACUUGCAGAUUUUA